GACGAACGCUGGCGGCGCGCCUAACACAUGCAAGUCGAACGGAGUCAAGAGGAGCUUGCUUUUCUUGACUUAGUGGCGAACGGGUGAGUAACGCGUGAGUAACCUGCCCUGGAGUGGGGGACAACAGUUGGAAACGACUGCUAAUACCGCAUAAGCCCACGGAUCCGCAUGGAUCUGCGGGAAAAGGAUUUAUUCGCUUCAGGAUGGACUCGCGUCCAAUUAGCUAGUUGGUGAGGUAACGGCCCACCAAGGCGACGAUUGGUAGCCGGACUGAGAGGUUGAACGGCCACAUUGGGACUGAGACACGGCCCAGACUCCUACGGGAGGCAGCAGUGGGGGAUAUUGCACAAUGGGGGAAACCCUGAUGCAGCGACGCCGCGUGGAGGAAGAAGGUUUUCGGAUUGUAAACUCCUGUCGUUAGGGACGAUAAUGACGGUACCUAACAAGAAGGCACCGGCUAACUACGUG
This 468-nucleotide ribosomal RNA is filed under the name uncultured bacterium. Its description in RNAcentral is "partial 16S ribosomal RNA". It matches the Rfam family "Bacterial small subunit ribosomal RNA", at positions 28 to 507 of the family's 1533-position model. The record is from RNAcentral.